This 484-nucleotide ribosomal RNA is filed under the name uncultured bacterium. RNAcentral describes it as "partial 16S ribosomal RNA". It matches the Rfam family "Bacterial small subunit ribosomal RNA", at positions 30 to 507 of the family's 1533-position model. The record is from RNAcentral.
AUUGAACGCUGGCGGCAGGCCUAACACAUGCAAGUCGAGCGGAUGAAGGGAGCUUGCUCCUGGAUUCAGCGGCGGACGGGUGAGUAAUGCCUAGGAAUCUGCCUGGUAGUGGGGGAUAACGUCCGGAAACGGGCGCUAAUACCGCAUACGUCCUGAGGGAGAAAGUGGGGGAUCUUCGGACCUCACGCUAUCAGAUGAGCCUAGGUCGGAUUAGCUAGUUGGUGGGGUAAGGGCCUACCAAGGCGACGAUCCGUAACUGGUCUGAGAGGAUGAUCAGUCACAUGGGAACGGAGCAGCGGUCAAGCUCCCUCCGGGGGCGGCAAGGGGGCAAUUUUGGACAAGGGCGGAAGUCUUGACCAAACCGGCCGGGGUGGGGAAAAAAGGUUUUUGGAUUGAAAGGAUUUUUAGGUGGGGGGAAAGGGAAUUAAUUUAAUACCUUGCUUUUUUGACUUUCCCAAAAAAAAAAGCACCGGCUAACUCCGUG